CUCGCAGACCGCCUUAUCGUCGUCCCGAUUUAUCGGGAGGGAGGAAAGUCCGGACACCACAGAGAAGCAUAGCGGGUAACACCCGUCGGUUGCGUUUUUACGAACGCGAUUAGGACAAGUGCAACAGAAAGUAUGUACAGGUAAUGCUGUAGUGAAACCAGGUAAACUCUAUGCGGUGAAAUAUCAAGUAUAUCAGCAUUUAAGGGCUUCUCGUUCGUUGCUGAAGGGUAGAUAGCUUGAGUUCAAAAGUAAUUUUGGAUCUAGAUAAAUGAUAAGGGUUUCGAGUAAUCGAGAUACAGAAUCCGGCUUAUAGGUCUGCUUUUUUU
This 326-nucleotide RNase P RNA is filed under the name Flavobacterium turcicum. RNAcentral's name for it is "Flavobacterium sp. F-400 RNase P RNA component class A". It matches the Rfam family "Bacterial RNase P class A". From Rfam's summary of the family: Ribonuclease P (RNase P) is a ubiquitous endoribonuclease, found in archaea, bacteria and eukarya as well as chloroplasts and mitochondria. Its best characterised activity is the generation of mature 5'-ends of tRNAs by cleaving the 5'-leader elements of precursor-tRNAs. Lineage: Bacteria; Pseudomonadati; Bacteroidota; Flavobacteriia; Flavobacteriales; Flavobacteriaceae. The record is from RNAcentral. RNAcentral also lists the same sequence under 1 other name.